Molecule: long non-coding RNA, 255 nt
Filed under: Malus domestica (apple)
Lineage: Eukaryota; Viridiplantae; Streptophyta; Magnoliopsida; Rosales; Rosaceae
Description: long non-coding RNA (MDOM_LNC008099)
Source: RNAcentral
CUGCUAGGAAAGGGGACAUUCAAAGGAAAAACAUUAGUCGGAAUUGAAUUUAACACAUUCUUACCCUUAUUGGAUGAAUUGGACAGAUUUGGAGCCAUGGGGGCUUGCGGCAUAGGUGUGUCCACCUUUGUCGUGGGUGGGCAUGCUUCCACCUCCUCAAAUUGAAGUUUUUCAUCCUCUUUGUGACCUGUUUUUGAUGAAGAACCUGGCCCAAUCUCUUUUCCACUUCUCAAGAGUAUGGCCUUUGCACUUUCA